UGCAAGCGAAAUUCAAAAAAUAUUUCUUUCCAAUUCCUCCAAUUUACUUAAUUGGUGCAGUUCUAAAUCCUUCUAUUAAAAUGUCUGAUUGUCACCAACAGUGUUGUUAAAAGCGCUCGCUACAGCGCUUUUAGCGCGUAGCGAGUGGCUGAUGCCACAGCAGCCUGUGUGGCGAGGCAAUCGUGAAUAGCGCUGGCAACAGGCAGUGAGGCGUGAGGCGUAGCGAGGCGCGAGGCGAGGCGUAGCGACGCUAUUUUGAAAUUACACAGAAAUUAAACACAUCAGCAGCAGCUUUACAAAAACAGAAAAUUAGGGUUUUCUAUCUAUUACACUCGACAAAAACAAAAGGCAAAAGGCAGUCUUCAUCUUCUGGCUUCUCUCGACGACUCGACCAGGUAUGUUCUUCUUUCUUCUUUCUUCUUUCUUCCUUCUUCCUUCUUCCUUCUUCCUUCUUCCUUCUUCUCUCUUUCUUCUUUUUUUCCUUCUUCUCCCAGUCGACAGAAGAAGGCUCUGUUUUUUUUUUUCCUUCUUCUUCCAGUCGACAGACUGGUCGACAGUGCACUGUCAACGACCAGUGAAAAAAAAACAGAGCCUUCUUUUUUUCCUUCUUCUUCCAGUCGACAGACUGCUCUUUUUUAUUUUUUCCAGUGAUCCA
This 655-nucleotide long non-coding RNA is filed under the name Nicotiana benthamiana. RNAcentral describes it as "long non-coding RNA (NBEN_LNC041521)". Lineage: Eukaryota; Viridiplantae; Streptophyta; Magnoliopsida; Solanales; Solanaceae. The record is from RNAcentral.